UCUGGUGGUUUUAAACAUGUAAACUAGGCUGCUUGUUCAAUUUUCUCUGUGGAGAAAUGAAAACCAAGAAAUUCGAAGGUAUGCUGGUUUCCUUGUUUUCAUUUGGUGUUUUGCCAUAAAGUUUGAAUGGAUAUGUUAAAAACAACAAAUUAAUUCGGUAAAGAAUUGUGAACUGACAUUAAUUAUUAACCUUGUGCAGUAAGCAUAUCAGGCCAUUUAAUACUGUUAAACGUAUAGAAUUUAUAUUAGAGUAUAAGCGUGAAUUAGAGGUGUACUAAAAUGGUUUAGCUUUUGCCAUAUGUCCAGGGGCUGAGACAGGACGACUUUACUAUGCCCUUGUUUGAGCCCCAUUUUUGUGAAGAAAAUGAAUUUUUGAAUAGCGUAGAAAUAUGUGGUUAAAAAAUAAGGAAAUUUUUUUGAUUUUGUGUAUAAUAUUAUUUUAUUGAAUAAUGUGUGAUUGAAAUGAUAUCAAAUUACUGUUUAAGAAUGUAUUUUGGUUGAAAAAUGGGGCUCAAACAAGGGCUAUAACUAAUUGGGGAGAAUACAAAAGAGUAUUACGCACUCAAUGCUAACUCACCCAUCUACCUAUACCAACACAAAAUAUAUACUAGGAGAUAAUAUCAAAAGAGCAAAAAGUACUCAAAUUGACAUCCCCAGCAAAAAGCAUCUACACUAGGUGAAACUAUAUAGGAUUCCCAUAUCUCACAACAAGAUAGCCAUUAACUAUCUGGGAUAUAACCGAAGUACUAAGGAAUCUCCUAUUUAUAGAACAUAAAGGCUUUUCUCUUUGACGUGGUGGGACGUACAAACUAACUCCUAUAAUGGAUAGGAUAUAUAAAUCGAAAUUGUAUUCUAUAUGAGAUUGUCUUCAAAACUACCAAAGAACAAAUCUUCACAUUGGUUUAAAAUUGUUCCAAGGCCUUCUAUAGGAAUUUCGUCAGGCAUCUCCCCCAAAGCAAAAUUUCCAAUGACUCCUCUUAAAGCUUCUCAUCAAAUUUAUCAAUUUUUCUUUUUGCUGUCAUAAUAGAAAAUCCCCCAAAACUCCACCUUUGAUACCAUAUCAAGCCCCUGUUUGACUACCAUUAAAAGAGCUCUUUUUUUUUUCCUUUUCUUUUUAAACUCAUUUUCAAUCACACAUUCUUACAAUAACAUAUUUUGCACUUAAUACAAAAUUUCUUCUUACUUUUUAA
Molecule: long non-coding RNA, 1190 nt
Filed under: Olea europaea (common olive)
Lineage: Eukaryota; Viridiplantae; Streptophyta; Magnoliopsida; Lamiales; Oleaceae
Description: long non-coding RNA (OEUR_LNC011005)
Source: RNAcentral